CAAGGUCAUUUUUAAAUCACAAUCUCUCUCUCCCUCCUCUGGCCGAGAGCUAAGGGAAAUCUUGCGUUUUCCCCUCCAGCGCUGCCAUUUUACCUUGUCGUUUUUUCCUCCAGUGAGGGAGAACGAAGGAGACCCUGUCAUUUUUCCCUCAACUCUAUCUCUCCAUCUACUCACUCUGACCAAGAAUGAGAGCUAACGAAACCCUACUGUUUUGCCCUCAACUCUGUAUCUCCUUCUACUCUAACCGAGAACAAGAGGUAAGGAAACCCUAUUGUUUUUCCCUCCGGCGAAGAAAAGCGAAGGAGACCCUGUUGUUUUCCCCUCGGAGAGUAUGGAUUUCUGCUCCUAUAGUGCUCUUUUACCUUCCUUCUUCUACAAGAUGGAUUUGUGUACUUUCAGUGCUCAACCGUGUUACCCCGAAACUUUACCACACUACCCCCUUCUCUCUUCUUCUCCUACACUUCUUGUAGUUCAUACCAGCUGAGUUGAUAGUGUUGUCUGCUUCGUCAGAUUACCGGCGACCGUUUAGGAGAUUACAUCGGUAAGUAAUCAAUCUCCUUUUUUCCCUCAACUCUGUAUCUCCUUCUACUCUUAACUGAGAAUGAAGGUAAGGAACCCCUAUUAUUUUUCCCUCCGGUGAAGGAGAGCGAAAGAGACCCUGCUGUUUUCCCCUCGGACAGUAUGGAUUUUUGCUCCUAAAGUGAUCUUUUCUCUUGUUCGAUCUUUGCAACCCUCUUUUGCCCCCUCCCUCUUCUUCUCGGUCCCAAAGUCCCAAACCCUACCUUCUUCUACAAAAUGGAUUUGUCUUCGUUCGAUGCUCAACCGUGUUACCCCGAAAUUCUAUCACCCUACCCCCUUCUCUCUUCUUCUCCUACACUUCUUGUAAUUCAUACCAGCUGAGCUGAUAGUGUUGUCUGCUUCAUCGAAUUACCGGCGACUGUUUAGAAGAUUACAUCAAUAAGUAAUCAAUCUGGCAUUCGUUCAAGAAAUUAAGUGGGUGGACACGUGUAUUGCUGGUCGUCGCUUCAUACGAAACCUACCAGUGGUUAUGGUCCAACUGAUUAUUCAGCUUUAUCAACAAGACCAAAUACAAAUUUCCUUACUGAUGCCUGGUGGGACAACCCCCAGCCAAGAACCACAACACCAGAUGCACAAAGUUGAACAUGGACUACAUCAUGUAUUACUUAAAUUUAGUCAUUAGUCCUCUAUGUAUUUGUGAACAAGCAACAUUUUUAGCCUUCUUUUUUGUUUAUUUAAAAUCUUUUUUCUUACUAUUUUCUCAGUCUUUUUUUUUUAUUUUUUAUUUUAAGUAGUUAGGUUUUAUUUUCUAAUUCACCAUUUUUCCAUUUCUUGAACUCAAUGUAUAGAGAAUUUGCUUGGAGGAAGCAAGUAAAACUCAAAGUAUUGACAAAUUUAUGCUACAUCACUUCUGAA
Nelumbo nucifera (sacred lotus) is the source of this 1434-nucleotide non-coding RNA. The record is from RefSeq and is a predicted model, not a curated record. NCBI's taxonomy places the organism in Eukaryota, Viridiplantae, Streptophyta, Magnoliopsida, Proteales, Nelumbonaceae.